RNAcentral lists this long non-coding RNA (291 nucleotides) under Phoenix dactylifera (date palm). RNAcentral's name for it is "long non-coding RNA (PDAC_LNC008964)". Lineage: Eukaryota; Viridiplantae; Streptophyta; Magnoliopsida; Arecales; Arecaceae. The record is from RNAcentral.
AAUAUCAGUAAACCUAGUGAACAUGCUAGUGAUUGUCUCAUUAGAAUCCAUUUUAAAUAGUUCAUACUUAUGAACCAAUAUAUUAAUCUUGGAUUCUUUAACUUGAUUUGUGCCCUCAUGGGUCACUUCUAGUCUAUCCCAGAUCUCUUUUGCAGAAUUGCAAGUAGAGACCCUAUUGAAUUCAUUUCGGUCUAAGGCACAAUAAAACACAUUCAUAGCUUUAGAGUUUAAUUGUGCCUUCCUCAUGUCAUGUUCAUCCCAAUCCUUUUCUAAUUUGGGUACCUUGACACC